Long non-coding RNA from Equus quagga, 1068 nucleotides. RefSeq lists it as uncharacterized. The transcript is spliced from 4 exons. The record is from RefSeq and is a predicted model, not a curated record. Lineage: Eukaryota; Metazoa; Chordata; Mammalia; Perissodactyla; Equidae.
UCUAUUUUAUAACUUAAAAGGACCACAUUAGACUCCCAUGAUAUGAGACUUCCAUAAUGGAGAGUGACAAAUUGGUCAGCGGAAAGGGAGAUAUUUUGUUUUCACAGAGGGGGCUGCGUGGGCAGUCCAAGGAAUGCAGGCCUUGCAGCGGGCCGGACGACCUGAGACCCCGCUGACUCUGGAGGGGAGGCAGGUCACGGACCCUCGGAGCUGCGGUUUCCCUAUCUGUUACAGGAGCAUGGCAAUCACUGCGGUUGGAGAGAAGGUAGCAAAGCAUGGGACACAGUUUUGAUGGCCAGAGAACAAGUGAAAACACCUUGCUGGUUCUGCAUUUCCGUUUGUUUCUCUCGUUGUUCUUGCUUCAUCGAUGUUUAUGUUUUCUUGCAUGAAGAUUUAUGAGGCACCCGCCUGUGGAUUGCAUCUUCUCCAUUGAUCCAGAAUGGUUCAUCGCCUCAAAAGGAAAUCUCCCAUCCAUGAAGCAGUCCCUUCUUUUUCUCCCCUGCUCCCAGCCCCUGGCAGCCACUAAUCUGCUCUCCAUCUCCAUUGAUUCACCUUUUCUGGACAGCAAGACCCAGAGAGCUUUGGAGGAAACAAGAGCAGAGGGAACAUGCACCCAUUUCUCACUGAGCAUAGAAAAAGCAGCUGACUACUGAGAGGGCAAGCUGUGUGAUGCAUCUCAGCGAUGGCCAGCCGAGCUGCAACUGCUGGGACCCAGUGCAGCGACAAAGCAGCAACAUGACCGCCAUGCCCGUGGAUCUCACCUGAGAGUAUGAGAGAGAGCCAGAAGCGAGGGUGCGAAUGGGCGCAGGGGCCACCCUUGAGCAGAAACCUGUGUGUACAGAUGACUGCGGACCUUUGAGACAUGGACACAAUAAUUUCCCCUGUGGACAGAUAAACCCAAGUCUAGAUGGUUCCACCCUGCUAUCUCUGCCUCCCCCACAGACAACAAGAUGUCAACACUUAUCUCCUUGGUGCAACACAGACCUCUGGAAAUUGGAUGCAGCCUUGGAGGAAGUCGGAAGGAAACCAGAAUUGACAGUUUAAUUUUCCACCACUUCAUUGGGUGGG